GCUUUUGAAUCUAUGAGGUCGGGCGGGACUGAGUGGUGCGUAAAGCUUUGCAAUGUCAAGGUUAUGGCCAAGGCUGCCCCAGGCUGGAGACACGGUGGCGUCGUAACCACCGGAACGUCUACUAACGAGAGAGCCAGAUGCGCAAUUGCACCAGUUGUAGUUUGUUACGAGUAGAGAGCACUGAGGCGCUUACGAAUUAGAAGGGUGUCGAAACGGCCCGGUUCAUCUCCUUUACCUCUGUUAGAUAGGGUCUGUACCGUUGUUCUGUGGUAUGAGACUGGUUGAAGUUGUGGGUUGUUGCUUGUAGUGGUGCGCGGCAGCUGGAAUGGUCACAGCCGCAACACGGUUGUUGAUGAUAAUUCUGGAAAUCUGUUCCUGAUCUAAACAGCCGUUCUGUUCCUGAUAGCGAAGCUCAAAGAAUUCUCCCCCCUCUCUCUGCGUAUACCUCCAGCAGUGAACGCUUUUUUACCCCUGAUGAAGAUCCAACUCCAUUUUUAGAUUUGGCAGUCUUCAGCGUGAAUCUCUCCCCUCUCUCCGUAGAGACCGAGCGGCAUAGAGGUGCGGCGCCCACCAGACGCUCCAGAUAAGAUCCAGCGCAGCGUAUUCAUGAACAUUUUGGCCAUUUCCUUUUCCACAUUAGGAGGCUGAACGACGGGAAGCUAUUCUCUCCAGCGUUGGCGUAUUCCCUGAAGCACUCAUUGCUUUUAAGCGACAAUCCUGAAAGUUGGUUCUGUCCGACAGCCUGUCUGACUUAUCUGAUACUGCUUCACGAAAGCCUCAGCCAAAUCCUCAGCAACGCAUGUGGCGCUCUGUCCCGCCUUAGUAUACCAUUAGGGAUGCCACCAUCCGCUAUCCUGAGAAGAAUACAUAGUAGCUCUCAGUCAUUCGACGUAUGCAACAUUUUACGGAAAUGAGCUGCGUAGUUUGGGGCAAGAGCUGCUGUAUUUGUCAAAGACCGGGACUGUGAUUCGGUGAGCACUCUUCCCCUGGACGGCGCGGCGGCGUGCACAUCUACCCUAGAGGAUCCUCUGUCCUUCCAACGCUUCGCCUCUUCCUGUCUUCUAAACACAGGACGGUCCAUGCCUGGCAUGCCAAAGUCUUCCUGAAGUUAGGGGGAUGAGGCCUGCGCGAUCAUGACACUGUUGAUCAGGUUGACAUUGGAUCCAGGGAAUAGGCCCAUGCCCGUCCAUUGGGACAUUGCGCUUCCAGACUGGAUCAUCCAAUGUCUCUGUUGAGUAGCGGCGGGAUUCCUCUGCAUCCAUCUGUCUACUGCGGCUUUCCCGAGCACCCCUUGACACCACUCCAUGAAUUGGGUCAUGGAUCUCUCAUCUCAGCGGCUUCUUGCUUCGUCAGCUCGUUCUCUCUGUUGUUCCUUCGGUAGCGGAAUCGGUGAAUGCGGUGUCAGUAUUCCUCUGAUGGAACACAAACAAUUGAGAACACUCGACCAGUACCUGUUAUGCAGACCAUGCUCAUGGAUAUGCAAAUGGUGCCCCGUAUGAACUGUUUAUCAUCAAAAGUAUCUACCUUGUUCCAAGUCUUUCAUCAGAUAAAAUAUCCCUUAAAAAGUACCAGAAAACCCCGGAGAGAGAAGAUGGGAUAUAAACCCACAGGAUUAUAAACAUGUGUUAAAUGUCAUUGAAUGCAAGAUGAUGUGAUGCCAUGAUCGUGAAUGCAUAUGUGGCAUGUAAAUCGGAUUGCAGGAUCCGCUUGAACAUCUGUUAGGUUGCAUGUCUGAGAGAAACCCACUUGAAUGGAAUAACAGAUCAAAGCUAUGCUGCUCCAGAAAAACCGGGUGGUUGGAGGUUAAGAUUUCCUGAUUUAGCCGCCCCUCACUGUAGGUUCUAGAACAGAAGUUCGUCAAGGCUUCCAGCCUCGUCGCCGAUAAUAGUUUACCAGCGUAUGUUGCAUUAUUACAGGACAAAAGACGCUCCACUUGAUCCCCUAACAGACAUCUAAAGCAUCUCCGCUCGGGUCCUCGGAUUGAGGCAGCGGAAUGCGCCCCACCAGAGCUACAUAAAUACGUCUCGGAGAGAGGCUCGACUGAGUUCUCGGGAAAUGGUCCCAAGGUCGACGAUUUCUAGGAGAAUCAUCCUACGUUACGCGAACACCCGUAGGACUAUAUAUCAACAGAAACCGUCGUCUGGGCUUGUUCUUCAACGAACACCUUAGCGUUGCAACACGCACGCAGCUCAUGAUUUCAUUUCUAAACCUGUGUGUACACUCAAGCUGGCGGUAAUGGGCUCUAUCUCUCAUAACACCCGGCAUCCCACAAACAAACAAACAGAUCCACAGCAUACAGCAGAUGAUGCAAGCAGGUAAGUAAAUAAUGUACAAAGCCACGAUGAACCACCCAUAAACAAGAAAUCGCAAAAGCCUAGGAGGGCUCGCCUAGGGCAGGGACCAGCAACCGCGAGCGUCACACUUCUAAUGUCCCCACAGGCGCCAUCUAUCGCAACCUAAAAAUAAAGUGUGCCGAAAACAAUCGGCGAAAGAAAUGACAGAAGCGGCCCGUGUCAUUAUGCAAAGAAGGAAAGGAACACCGCCAGUCGAGUAACCGACAAAGACUAAGGACAAAAGGGCCCCGGUCUCGCCAACCAAAUCUUGGGGUUCGGAGUCGGUUCAUGCGAAGACAGGUAUUAGCACGAGCAUCCGUAGUACUUACUGGAUCCACUUUUGUGUUCUUGAUCAAGGUGUGGAGUUGUUUGUGCUGUUUACAAAAACAACGGGUUAUAAUGAAAUGACUCGCCGCGGCUGUCGCAUCCACUGCUACGUAUCAUCAUCUUGAAUUGAGAAUCAGAGUCUCGCUAGUCGGACUAACUAUGGGUUGGGGGGGAUGUGUGCUCGCUAAGGACAUCCGUGUCUUAUGCCUACGUAUCUCAUCUGGAAUGAGAAUCAGGCAGUCGUAGUUCGGUACUACGGGGUUAUGGAGUGGGUUUUGACGAACGACGUUACUACGCAAUCUACGGUGCUGCUUGGAGCUUACUCACCGGUGUAGAAGAUACAACGUGUGUUUCGGAGAAGAAAAAUCAAUGAAGGGUAGGUUAGUAACCUCCAUGCAAAAGAUCCUUGACGAAGAACCCGUAAAAAACAAAACACAAAAAUUGCUUCCCUUCGAGGCUCUUCCAGUAGCGAAGCUCAAUACUGCGCGAAGAAAAUGGAAAGUACCCGCAGAUAAAGAUCCGAAUAAACCAAUAGUUAGGCGAUGGAAACUCAGUGAUCCUUCCAAGCUAAACACAUCAAGAAAGUGAUCCGAUCAGUACAAUCGGAAACCUCAAGUCUAUCCCACAAAUAAAGGAAAAACCACCACGCUUAUCCCCUGAAAAGUAUGUGAGCCCUCACAAACUCAACAACGGUUAGAGACAAUAAAAAAACGAGGAGAAUCAAGAGGUUGCCCCCCUAAAUCAAAUUUAACCACAGAAUACACAUCUAAAUGUCACAAAAAGCAUGCCUACACAAGGGUAUCAAAUAUCAGUACCAAACACCCUCAUCACAUUUAGGCAUUCAAAGUUUAAAGGCUAACGAUGAUGGAUUAGGGCAACCUAAUUGGAGAGACUUGAUUGGAAUAGUUGCACCCGUGAGUUUCACAAACAUCUUUUAGGUUUAUGCGAAGCAAGCUGAUUUCUGUGAGUUGAGUUCCCUCAGGGUUGGAGGUGCUCUAACUCUUUAGUCUCUUUCUUCUCUCAUAUUCUUUUCCUCAGGCGUAAUAGGAAUGCAUCCAUGUUUGUUUCACUGAAACUCUAGUAUUUAUAGCCUAAUAUUGGUAGCUUAGUGGGCUUUUGAGAGAGGUCCAAGUCUGAGAUUUUUUUCUUUUAUUUAUUUAUUUAUUAUUAUUUUUAUUUACUUAUUUAUUUAUUUAUUCGUUUUUUUUUUAUAAAUAAAGCUUCUUGGAUCUAAAUCUGAUUGACAUGAUGAAAUACAAUGUAUCUAAUGUUAAAUGACCUAAAAAUGAAUGCAUGCAUGAGGUGUAAAGCGUAUGCUUUCAAGAAAAAUGAAGGGUAAAUUUUGGGGUAUUACACCUUGGUCUUGAACAGUUUUGACACCAUGAUGAUGGUUUGCAAAACCCUGUUUUCUACUUUCCCGCCUGUCGGGCUCUAUGCUGAUUCUUAUCUCUGGAAGAAUAGAAACCUCUGACUUUUUCAUAUAAUGAUUAUUGAGAUGCCUCACAUCUUGUGAAUCAGGUGCAUUAUUGUAAGCUAAACAAGCUUUCCUUUGACAUUUCAAAAAAUCAAACAAUUUAAAGUUUUAAUGUUUUUAUCUUAUCAAAAAUAAAAGUAACAUUAAGUAAACAAGCAGGAAAAACAAAAUCAUCAAUAAAUAAACAUUUAACUGAACCGUUUUAUUUGACGAUAAGAAUAACUCAUAUAGUGGAUAACAAUACAUGAAGGUGGAGAGCAAUUUUAGUACCCUAAUGGUUUUUUAGUGUGUAGCUUUUACAUCCAGUUUCGAUUCUGACUAUAUGACGUGUAACGUCAUCAGUUUCUGAACAUUGUGUUCCACAUUUCGUUUUUGCGCCAGUCAUGAGAAGUUCUGAAAAAUGUUCAAAGUUGUUGUUGCAGUGAUCUUUCUCCUUCUGUGUUGAUUCAAUCUUGAGAAGCUUUGUUAGAAGACGAUAUGUUGUUGCUACAACAUUCUUUUUGUUUGUCCUUCUAGACGUGACUCUAAUCGAUAAAGCUUUUGAAGAAUGGCAAGCUUAUGAAGUUGUGUUACUUAGUUGAAGAUUCUUAAGAUCUCAAGCCAGGUGUUGAUAUUAUCAAGGUUCUGACUGUAGACUCUAAAGACUUUGAAGAUUCUGAAGAUUUCAAGCUAGACUACUGACACUGUCAAGGUUCUGGUCUAAGAUUCUGAAGUUUCUGAAUCUAGCUUUAUGUUUCUUCAUUUCAUGCUUCAUCAACUUUCAUCAGAAUCUAAUGAACUUGAAGAUAAGAUCAAAUGGAUACAUGAUCAAAUAGUACAUAGUAUAAAUCAAAUAUUCUUUCCACUAACUGAUUAUGUGGGCAAGGAUAGUAAUAUACAUCACACCUGUCACUGAAUUUGUGGGUGAAUGACAAUAUGCAGUAUCAUUACUUUCACCAUCCAACAGUGAACAAUCGCUCUAUUUGGUUUCCCCAUUUUGUCCUCCAAAGGUCUUCUUCUUAUGCUAUAUAAGUGGAACUUGGAGACUUGAAGAAAAUACACAUAUAGAAGAAUACUGAAGCGCUGCAAAACUUGACAAAGUUUAUUUGUGAAAAGCUAUGAUUUUUCUAUACAGUUUUUCGUUAAGUAUUUAUUUAUCAUUUAUGUAAAAUCUGCUUGUGAAGAAGCAACUUGUAACACGCAAAAUAUUAUUCAAACUGUUUGUUUGAUUCCUUAAGGAGACUAGGGUAUAGUCGGAUUCUUAAGAAGACAAAUAAAGUUAUUUUUUGUGAUUCCUUAAGGAGACUAGGGUAUAGUCAAAUCUUUGAAAAGACAAAGAAGGUUAUUUGUUGUGAUUAUUGUAAUUCAUUGAUUAUAGUGGAUUAAGUCCUUGCGUAUAAGGAAAAAUCACCUUGGCGGGUGGACUGGAGUAGCUUUGAGUCUCAAGCAAACUAGGAUAAAAAUACUUGUGCUUUUAUCUCUUUGUUAUUAACAUUUUAGUGGUGUUCUUGAGUUGAGUAAAAGCUUUAGUUUUGAAAUCCCAAUUCAAAUCCCCCAUUAUUGUGUUUUUCACACCUUCAAUUGGUAUCAGAGUCUGGCUCUGAUUGCGAUAAAAGAUUUAUUAAACACUUCAUUGUAUUUGUCGCAACCUGAAAAAGAAGAUGCGAAAAAAUAACCGGCGAGAAAGAAAUGACAGAAGAGUCGCCACCGCGCGUUAUUCAUCCCAAAGAAGGGAAAGGAAACGCUCGAAGUAAACCUGGAAAAAGGAAAGGAAAAGACAAGGUCUCGCAACCAAAUCUUGGGUUCGGGAGCCGAUUAUGCAAAGGGAAGGUAUUAGCACCCCUACGCAUCCGUAGUACUCUACAGGAUCCACUUUUGUUGUUCUUGUCUAAAGGGUGCAUGUAUAUCUAAUGUACUACUUACUAAAAGGGGGGUCAAAAGAAAAUGACUCGCACGAAUGUCGCAUCCACUGCAUACGUAUCUCAUCUGAAUAUGAGAAUCAGAGUCUUCGUAGCUCGGCUACCUAGGGGUUAAAGAGGAGUGUGCUCGCUAAGACAUCGCGUCUUAUGCCUAUGUAUCUCAUCUGGAAUGAGAAUCAGAGCAAGCCGUAGUUCGGCUACCUACGAUUUAAGGGUUGUGUUUUUUAGAUGAACGACGUUACUACGCAAUCUACCGGAUGCUCGACCUUUGGAGACUUACUCGCCUGUAGUAGAAGGAGUUAACGUGUUCUUAGGAGAAGAAAAAUCAAUGAGUUUGUUUGUGUUUUAGGAACGCUCAUGCAAAAGGGAAGUCCUAGACGAAGGAACAUGCAUAAAGUAAAUACGCCAACAAGGGGCUCAAACAUACAUGGGUAGGGCUUUAGUCAAGAGGGGUCAUAUCAACCUUGACAGACAAGCCAUGGAAUAGGUAAUCAAACGGGCUCUUAACCACUGACAUUGAACGUCAGGGUGAGCAGAUCAAAAGGGUAAUGAGAAUAAGACCUCAUAGCUCUUAACCCUGGACAGGGUGAGCUCAUGACAAAAAGUGGGGAUUCAGAAAGGUGGAACCCUCUCCACUGACUGACCGGACAAAAGAUCUUGGACUUUUGCUCUGAAGCAUCGACACGUAGUGUGAUCUUAAAGAACGACACACUGAAUAACGGGGGAUUGACUACUAAUCCCUUUUAUCCGUCAAUUGCCUCGGAGGGAGGUCUUUAGCACUGAUGCCUCUUCUUGGCAGGUCUUUGGGCACAAAAGUAAACAAAUAAAAGAAAACAUUGCCUCCUAUUGAGGUCUUCCAGCUUAAGAAAGCGGUAAAAUGCGGAAAGAUAAAGGAUCAAGAAUCUACCACACGGAUAAAGAUCCGAAGUAAUACAGCUAAAGAAUAAGAAACCGAUAGAUCUCUCGAGCUGGCACCAUCAAAGAAAGCAAGUCAAUACAGGUAAUCGGUGAAUAAUCUCCAAAUGGUAUCCCACAAAUAAAGUGGAAUGCCAAGAAAGCUAUCCUUUCAGGAGUCAUGUGACGCCCUUCAACAAAAAACUCAACAUAACAAGUUAGAGUGACGAUGGGGAUGCAAUCAAGAGUUGGCCCCAAAUCAAAAAUGUAACCCAUGAAUCAUGCAUUGAAAAUUCACAAAAAGAGCUCAGACAAAAAGCAAACCAAGUGUAAAGGAGGCCUAAACUCAUUUGUCAAGCCACAAUGCAUCAAAGGGUAUCAAAAUUCAAAUAUAAAGUAGUGGAAAUCAGGCAUACCUGAUUGGGAGAGGAUCGAUUGAAAUUGAAUUGCACCGUUGCUUUGCAGAUAUAUCUUAGGUUUUAUAUGAGAAGAAUUGUUCUUUGGCAGAUAAGUUCCCUUCAGUCUCUGAGUUGCUCUGAACUCUGUUAGCUCUUCUCUCACUACUUUUUCCCAGGGUUUUUUUGGGAGAUGGAAGUCUAGAAUUUAAACCUGAUUUUGUGACUUUGUGGGCUCAAAAGAGAGGUCAAGUCCAAGAUUUUCUGUUAUAUUUUAUUAUUUAUUUAAUUUAUUUAUCGUUUUUUUUUCGUUUUUUUUCGAAACGCGUGGUUUCGCCUAGGGAGCAUGACAGUUCAUGAACAAACUUUUGCUCCUUCAAGAUUACGUUUUGACUGAUGAAUAGACGCCAUUUGAAAAUGUUGGAAGUAUCUCAAGUCUUCCUUGUGUUGACUGAUCACCAGAUAGGACCCACAAAGUGUCUUGGAUGAUAUUCAAGUUUCUUGGAUCUAAUUCCGAUUGACAUGAUGAAAUGCAAUAUGAAAUGUUAAAUGACCUAAAAAUGAAUGCAUGCAUGAGGGGGGAAAUUUUGAGGUAUUACAGUAUUCAGUACCAAUCCAAGUUUGUGUGAGAAACAAUGGUAGUUGCUAACGUUGUUAAUAACAAUGAGAGAGAUCAUUACAGUGUUAAACCACCAAUAUUUGAUGGCGAGAAAUUUGACUACUGGAAAGAUAGAAUUGAAAGUUAUCUUAUUGGAAACGAUGUUGAUCUCUGGGAUCUUGUAGUCGAUGGCUACGUUCACCCAGCUAAUGCUGAAGGAAAUAAUAUAGCAAGAAGUGCUAUGUCUGAUCAUCAAAAGAAAGAUUUCAAAAAUCAUCAUAAGGCCGGAGCUAUAUUGCUAAAUGUUAUCUCUUAUAUUGAUUAUGAGAAGAUAACAAAUAAAGAUUCUUCAAAAUCCAUAUUUGACUCUUUGAGGAUGACUCAUGAGGGGAAUGCUCAAGUAAAGAAGACAAAGGCCUUGGCCUUAAUCCAUAAGUACGAGGCAUUCAUAAUGGAGGAUGAUGAAACAAUUGAGACUAUGUUCUCAAGGUUUCAGAUGCUUGUUGCAGGACUGAAAGUUCUGGACAAAGGAUACUCUGCAGCUGACCAUGUCAAGAAGAUAAUCAGAAGUGUCCCUAAAAAAUGGAGACCUAUGGUAACUAUUUUAAAGCUAGCAUAGGAUCUUAAUGUAUCAGUCUUGAAGAAAUUGUUAGUUCUUUAAGAAACCACAAGAUUGAACUCGAGGAAGAUGAACCUCAGAAGCGAGGUAAAUCUGUUGCUUUAAAGUUUAAGCCUGAGAAGACAAGAGCUUAUCAAGAUGAGGAAGAAUCAAAAGGUUUUGAUGAAGACUCAGAAGAUGAUGAUGAACUGUCUCUGAUUUCAAAGAGGGUCAACAGACUCUGGAAGCACAUGCGUAAUGGUCAAGGAAAUUUCAAAGGAGCUAGAAGGAAUGUUGGCCGUUCUGAUUCUUCAUCUGGACAGAAGAAGCAAGGUUUUGGAAAAAGAAGUUAUCUGCUUUGAACGCAAGGAGCCAUGUCACUACAAAAAUGAAUGUCCUAAGCUGAAAAAGGACAUAAGGCCUAAGAAGACUUUUUCUGAAGGUAAGAAGGGGAUGAAGGCUAUAUGGGAUGACACAAAAUUUGAAGAAGAAGAUUUUGACAAAGAAAAAGCCAACGUUGCAUUGAUGACAACUAUAACUGAUCCAGAAGGUUCUGAAGAACCAGAAGACAAGAUGCCGACAAAAUCAAAAUCAGACUCCGAUUCUGAAGAGGUAUUUUCUGAACUAUCUCAUUCUGACUUAGAAUUAUGUCUCUUUGAAAUACUAUAAAAGUACCAGAGUAUUCAGAGUAAGUACAUUGACCUUAAACAAGUCCAAGUUGUUGCUUCUGAAACUCGGAGUGAGCUUGAGAAAGAUAUUUCCUCUCUAAAUGAAAAAGUAUUUUCUUUAGAAAGUAAUAACUCUGCUUUGAAAAGAAAAUUUUCAAAACUAGAGGAAGAAAUAGUCUCAGAAGGUUCUGGUAUGGAUUGCAUCAUUAGAUAUGACAGAGCAUUCUAUUACCUUCUGGAUAAAAGCAUAGAUAGAAGCAAAAUGACUUUUUUGAUCUAUGAAGUUAGCAGAAAUUUCAAGAAAGGUUUAGGUUGUAUGUAAAUUAUAAAACCUGACGAAAGUCAAAAGGUAAAACCAAAACCUCUCUAUGAGCAUUUCGUGUCUGCUGGCACUGAGCUUGAUGUUUCUGCACAGACAUGGAAACGUACAAAGGGUAAGAACUCAAUUCUGAAACCUAAGUAUCAUGCUAAAAUCCCAUGUUAUUAUCCUUCUACCCAAAGACCCAAAGUUGUAAGAAACUCUGGGAAAACUAACAAAAAAUGACCCAAAAAGUGGGUACCUAAGGAUAAAAUAAUUUAUGUUACAUACACCCUUAGCAGCUCAGUUAAAACUCCAGCCAUGGUACUUGGACAGUGGAUGCUCACGAAAUAUGACGAGUAGAAGGUCUAUGUUCUAAGAUUUGGAACUUAAUCCUGGAGGCUUCAUUGGUUUCGGAGGAAACCAAAAAGGAAAGAUCGUUGGCUCCGGAACUAUUGGUAAGGUAAACUUCCUUCUAUUACUAAUGUUCUUUUGGUCAAUGGUCUAAUGCGUAACCUAUUGUCUAUUAGUCAACUUAGUGACAAUGGUUAUGAUAUCAUUUUUAAUCAAAAAACCUUAUAAGGUUGUUAGUCAGAAAGAUGGUAUAGUCCUUUUUAACAGGAAGAGAAAGGAUAACAUUUAUAAAAUCAAACUUCCUGAUCUUGAGGAUCAAAAUGUAAAUGUCUAAUGUCUGUUAAUAAGGAGCAAUGGGUAUGGCACAAACGUUUGUGCCAUGUUAGCAUGAGAAGGAUUUCUCAUCUAAAUAAGCUUGGAUUAGUUAGAGGCUUAUCCAACCUUAAGUUCGCUUCAAAUGCUCUUUGUAAAGCAUGCCAGAAAGGCAAGUUUUCUAAAACAUCCUUCAAAGCAAAAAUUAUUAUUUCUACCUCUAGAUCGUUAGAACUUAUGUACAUUGAUUUGUUUGGACCAGUGAAAACUAUCUCUAUUAAUGGAAAGAAGGAUGGAUUGGUCAUCAUCGAUGACUAUAGUCGAUGGACCUGGGUAAAGUUCUUGAAACACAGGGAUGAGUCACAUUCUGUGUUCUCUACCUUCUGCUCACUAGUGCAAACAGAAAUGAAUUCCAAAAUAGUCAGAGUCAGAAGUGAUCAUGGUGGCGAAUUUGAAAAUAAACAUUAUGAAAAUAUUUUUGAUACAAAUGGUAUUUCCCAUGAUUUCCAAUGUCCUAAAACUCCACAACAAAAUGGAGUUGUAUAAAGGAAGAAUAGGACCAUGCAAGAAAUGGCUCGUACCAUGAUCCAAGAAACUGAUAUGGCUAAACAUUUUUGGGCAGAAGCAGUUAACACAGCUUGUUAUCAGAUGGAUGUUAAGAGUGCAUUCUUAAACGGAUACAUUUCUGAAGAGGUAUAUGUGCACCGACCUCAUGGUUUUGAAAGUUCUCAAAAUCUUGACUUUGUUUUAAACUGAAAAAGUUGUUAUAUGGUUGGAAACAAGCUCCCAGAACUUGGUAUGAUAGACUAAGUAACUUCCUUUUGGAAAAUGAUUUUACCAGAGGGAAAGUGUACACAACUCUCUUUUGAAAAACCUUUAAGAAUGAUAUUCUGGUUAUGCGAAUUUAUGUUGAUGAUAUUAUUUUUGGUUCUGUUAAUGCUUCAUUGUGCAAGGAUUUUGCUAAGUCAAUAUAGACAGAAUUUGAAAUGAAUCUGAUGGGAGAACUCAAGUUCUUUUUGGGAAUCCAGAUUUAUCAACGUUCAGAAGGAACGUACACUCAUUAGAGAAAAUAUACAAGGGAACUUCUGAAGAAGUUUAACUUGUCAGAAUGCAAGCAAGGAAAGACUCUAAUCCAUCCUAAAUGCAUUCUGGAGAAAGAAGAGGAAAGCAAUAAGGUAAAUCAGAAGCUAUCCAGAGAUAGGCUAUCUCCUUUAUCUAACCGCUUAUAGACUUGAUAUUUUAAUUAGUGUCUGCUUAUAUGCUCACCUCCAAUCAGAUCCUAGGGAGACUCACUUAACUAUUGUCAAGAGAAUCUUUAGGUAUCUGAAAGGUACUACUAACCUUGGUUUGUUUUAUAGAAAAUCAAGUGAAUAUAAAUUAGUAGGCUAUUGUGAUGCUGACUAUGGUGGAGACAUAAUAUAAAGGAAAAAUACUUCUGGAAGUUGUCAAUUUUGGGGAGACAAUCUGAUCUCAUGGUCCAACAAGAGACAAUUAACAAUUGCGUUUUCAACAGCUGAAGUUGGAUAUAUUACAGCUUUUGGAUGUAGCACUCAGAUACUCUAGAUGAAGAGUCAGCUGGAAGAUUAUCAGAUAUCUGAGAGAAACAUUCUUAUUCUCUAUGAUAAUACUUCUGCUAUCUGUUUGUCUAAAAUCCUAUCUUGCAUUCUAGGGCUAAGCAUAUUGAAAUUAAACAUCACUUUUUACGUGACUAUGUUCAGAAGGGUAUUUUUCACCUAAAAAUUGUUGAUACAAACCAUCAAUGGGAUGAUAUCUUUACAAACCCCCUUUCUGAAGAUAGAUUCCUUUUCACUCUGAAAAACUUGUUUAUGGAUUUAUGUCCAGAAUGAAAGAUGAAUUUUAGAAUGUUUAAGUCUUCAGAACUCUAGGUUAGAUUCUGAAAAUUUACUUGUUGAUUCUGAGACAUGAGCUUUCUGAAGUGAUAAAGUUUUAGGAAUCAGAAAGGUUCUGAUCAGAAGCAAUCUUAUCGGAUUGUCUUCCUGGUUCUGAACAGUUAUUGCAUUAAAUGUUUGUCAUGUCGUUUGAUAUCAUGUGGUUCUAAGUGGUGACAGUUGUCCCACUUUCUGAGCAUGUGUGAUGAUAGCUUGACACAUUGGGUUUCGCAAUUCUUGGAAUUAGGUUAAAAUCUUUUACGCUUCCCCCCAUGUCUGCAUAUUUUUAACUUGUCAUCAUUGCAAUUUUUUUCUAUAUAAACCCACUUCACUCACACUUUCACACUAUGCUCACAUUUACUCUCACAUCUUUCUCUCUUUCAAACCCUAAAUCACCCUCUCUGUAAUUUUUCUUCUUCUAUCAUCUUCAACAUCUUUCAUAUGGCUGAUAAAAAACAACCACAACAACAAGCUCAACCCCAACCUCAACCUUCUCAUCACUCAAUUGCUGAUAAGAACAUCCAUCCCUCAAAGGGAGAAACCAACGGUAGUAAUAACCCACCAGAUUACCCUAUCUUUAUGAAGAUCGAUCCUCCAUAUAUUUUGGCGUACUACAUGGAAAUUUGUCUCGAAGAUAAUUUUGAUCCGUUGAUGGAUCCCUUAAAUCUACAGGAUGACUACCCAGCUGUUUCGCCGCCUCCUCCUUCCCAAAACCCUUAGUUUUUUAAAAUAGUCUUCGCACAUGUGUGUGCUUUUUAUUUCUACCCAAGUGUGUGUGUGCCUUUUUAUGUUUGUACGAGUACUUGCCGCAUUUCUAUUAUGUUUUUCUUUGAAUUUCCGUCUUGUAAUUAAUUGUAUCUUUUCUACCUUUUGGCUCAUGUUUAAUGAAAAUCAUGUUUCUUUCUUUCAGUCACUUUUACUUUAUUUGUUUAUGUCUUUUUUAUUGAUGACAAAGGGGGAGAAACAUAUUUAAGGGGAAUAAUCAUAAUUGAUUUUGAUAUACCUAUAUUCAUAAAUGAAAACCCAGACAUUGUUUAAUGUUUCUGAUAACAACUACGUCGAAGAAUAUUUUGUUAAGUAUUUUGUAGGGAUAAGUUCAAACAUCAGAAGCUCUUUCUGAAGUUUCUCAUAUCAGAAUAUAAGUUACCAGUUUCUAAAGAAAUAGUUUACUCUCUAAAUCUGAAGCUUUAAACGAUGUUGAGAAAUUCAGAUCCAAGCAUUGAGUCUUCAAGGAAUUAAAAACCAGGCUCUGAACUUGGGGAACUUGACAUUAAGUUUUGAAGAAUUGAAAAUCCGACAUCAAGUUCCGAGGAAAUAUAAUUUCCAUAGUAAUCAGACUUGGCAAUCAAGCUUUUAAGGAGAAGCCCUAACCAGGUUCUGAAAGCUCUUUUCAAAGAGAUAUUCUUAAAGGUAACCAAGCUCUGAAAGAAAAUUUCGAAGAGAACCAGAAUUCAAGCUUCUGAAGAUAACCAAGAUCUAAAAAUUCUUCAAAAGAAUUCAACCAAGCUUCUAAAGUGAAGCUCAUUAGAAUGUUGAUGUUAACAAACCAAUGUUAUGGACAAUAUCAAGUAAUUUCUGAAGACAAACCAGAUUCUGGUGAAAGAUAAUUAUGGUACUUCAAAAAGGUUAAUCAGGAAAGUGCUCUUUCAUUUUGAUUUUAUCUUUUUAGGAUUAUACAUCUCAGGGGGAGCUUUCUGCUUCUGUAAGAUGUAUCCUUCUGUGAUUAUCCUAUACAAAAUUGUUCAUCAAAAUACAUGUUCUUGUCAUCAUAAAAAAGGGGGAGAUUGUUAUAACAAGAUUUGAUUCUGCAUCUAUACCUUGAGUUUUGAUGAUAACAAUGUUGUAUAUGUGUGAGAAUAAUUUUGGUACCCUAAUGGUUUAUUAUUGUGUAGCUUUAACAUCCAGUUUCGAUUUUGAGUAUAUGACAUGCAACGUCAUCAAUUUCUGAACAUUGUAUUCCAAAUUCUGCUUCUGCGCCAGUCAUGAGAAGUUCUGAAAGAUGUUCAAAGUUGUUGCUACAAUGAUCUUUCUCCUUCUAUGUUGAUUCACUCCUGAGAAGCAUCUGAGGAGACACUAUGUUGCUGCUACAACGUUCUCUUAGUGCUUUUGGACGUGACUCUUAUCGAUAAAUCUUCUGAAGAAUGACAAGCUUAUGAAAUUGUGUUACUUAGAUGAAGAUUCUGAAGAUCUCGAGCCAAAUGUUGAGGUUAUCAAGGUUCUGACUAUAGACUCUGAAGACUCUGAAGAUUCUGAAGAUCUCAAGCCAAACUACUGACACUGUCAAGGUUCUGACCGAAGAUUAUGAAGUUUCUGAAUCCAUCUUUAUGUUUCAUUAUUUCAUGCUUCAUCAACUUUCAUUAGAAACCAAUGAAGUUGAAGAUAAGAUCAAAUGGAUGUGUGAUCAAAUAGUUUAUAGUACAAAUCAAAUAUUCUUUCCACUACCUGAUUUCAUAGGCAAUGGUAGUACUAUACAUCACACAUGUCACUGAAUUUGUGGGCGAAGGAUAAUACACAAUAUCACUCCUUUCGCCAUCCAACAGUGAACAGUCGCUCUAUUUGGUUUCCCCAUUUCCCAUCCAACAAUCUUCUCUUUAUGCUAUAUAAGUGGGACUUUGAGACUUGAAGAAAAUACACAUAUAGAAGAAUACUGAAGCACUUCAAAACUUGACAAAGUUUAUUUGUGAAAAUCUACCAUUUUUCUAUAUAGUUUUUCUUUAAGUAUUUGUUUAUCAUUUGUUAAAAUCUGCUUGUGUAGAAGCAACUUGUAACACACAAAAUAAUAUUCAAACUAUUUGUUUGAUUCCUUAAGGAGACUAGGGUAUAGUUAGAUUCUUAAGAAGACAAAGAAAGUUAUUCUUUGUGAGUCCUUAAGGAGACUAGGUAUAGUCGGAUCCUUGAGAAGGCAAUGAAGGUUAUUCUUUAUGACUAUUGUAAUAAGUUGAUUAUAGUGGAUUAAGUCGUUGUGUAUAAGGCAAAAUCACCUUAGCGGAUGGACUGGAGUAGCUUUGAGUUUCAAGCGAACCAGGAUAAAAAUACUUGUGUUUUUAUCUCUUUGUUAUUAACAUUUUAGUGGUGUUCUUAAGUUGAGUAAAAUCUCUUGUUUUGUAAAACCUAAUUCAAACCCCCAUUUCUUGUGUUUUUCACACCUUCAGUAAAUCCCUUUUAAGAGGAGGUUACAGAAAAAGAAAGCAAGUAAAUGGCAUUGAAAAUUUAAUUGAAUUUCCAUUAAAUUACAACAUUUUAUAUUUUCCCUUAUGUCCUCUAGCCCUCAUUACUCUGCUUCUAGAGAUGAUGCUUGGAUUGUUCCCUUCCAUUUAAGUUUUAUGGUGGUGCGAGCUUGUAUGCUGCAGACUUAUGCCUUUGAAUAUUUUCUAACUUUUGCAUGAAUCUCUCCUUAGAGUUUCAGUUUAUCAAGAGAUUUACCCUAUUUUGAUUAAGCUUCCCUUUCAGGUUUUCGACUUACUGAGCUUAAUUUUAUUUAUCCCUAAUUUUUGCCAAAGUUUCCCUUGCGGGUUUUCAACUCACCGGGAUGCUCAUUUUUGCCUAAGCCGCUCUUUCAGGUUUUUGACUCAAUGAGCUUUAUUAUCUAUCUCUUUUUUAUUAGGCAUAAUACUUUUUGGUUGGGUUAGAGUUGAUGGGAUGUGUCAACUCUUAUCCAUCCAUAUUUAUGAGAACUAAAGCUCCACCAGAGAAAUCCUCCUUCACCAUAUAUGGUAUUUCGUAGUUAGGGAUCCAUUUUCCGCGAGGAUCUUUUUAGAGGGAGAUUAUUUUCUUCAGCACCAAGUCACCUACUCUGAACUCUCGAGUCGGACCUUCUUGUUGAAUUCCCUCUAUAGUCUUUUCUUAUACAAUUGCCCAUGGCAUAACACGAUCAUUCUCUUCUCUUCGAUCAGAUUGAGCUGGUCAAACUUGGUUUGCACCCAUUAUGCCUCUUCUAGUUCAGUCUCUAUUAGGAAUCUCAACUUCUAUUGGAAGCACUUCUUCCAUGCCAUUGACUAGAGAGAAAGGGGUUACCCCAGUUGAAGUACGAACGAAUAUUCUGUACCCGUGCAAAGCAAAAGGUAGCAUCCUGUGCUAGUCCUUAUAAGUCUUCACCAUUUUCUGAAUGAUCUUUUUGAUGUUUUUGUUAGUUGCUUAUACAUCGUCAUUCAUAUUUGGUAUGUAAGGUGAUGAGUUAUGAUGUUAAAUCCCGAAGCUAUCACACAACUCUCACAUCAUCUUAUUGUUCAGAUUCAACCCAUUAUCAAUGAUAAUCUUGCUAGGAGUCCUAUAAUGACAAAUUAUUUCCUUCUUGAUAAAUCGGGUAACUACUUACUUUGUCACGUUUGCAUAGGAAUCAACCUCUAACCACUUGGUGAAGUAAUCAAUGGCCACCAGGAUGAAACAAUGUUCAUUUAAAGCUUUCAGAUUGAUCAUUCCAAUCAUGUUUAGGCCCCACAUAGAGAAUGAUCAUGAUGCAGUUAAGACAUUCAGAGGAUUAGGUGGCAUGUGCACCUUAUCAGCAUAAGUCUGGAAUUUAUGGCACGUCCUGGCAUAAAGGAUACAAUCGGUUUCCAUCGUCAUCCAGUAGUAACCAUAUCUAAGAAUCCUCUUCGCCAUUGUAUGUCCGAUCCUCUUCGUCAUUGUAUAUCUGUUUGCUUGAAUUCCGAAAGAACCUUCAUGAAUUUAUUUGAUAAGCAUGUAUGUUUUGUGUUUUUCCACAACUUAUGGUUCUUCUCAUAGCUUGGGUAUGAAGUUUCCCUCACAACGUACCCAUAACCAAAAAGUUCAUAUCAAUAUACAAUAGUUGAAUAAUACAGUAAUAAAGCAUAUAAAGAUAAAUACGAGAAUACACAAACACAAACCAAACUAGGGUGGACUUGCUUAGGAAAUGUCCCCAGCAGAGUCGCCAACUGUCGUGGUGCAAAAAAUACCCGUGCGCAUCGCACACUUAAAAUACAACAGAGUCGCCACCGAAUUUUAUUUUCUCCAAAGGAACUUGAAAAUAUUGAUAAAACCCGUUUAAGCUAAGGUAAAUGGUCGUCGCAACCAAAAGCGGGUUCAGGAGUCAGUUAUGCAAGGGAAAGUUAUUAGCACCCCUCACAUCUGUUGUACUCAAGCGAUUCCAUUUAGUUAGUUAUGAGAAUGAGUAUUAGCGUGAUAUUUACUUGUUAAGCGAGAAAAGAUAAAGAAAGACAGGGUUUUUGGUUUUUAGUUUAAUGGGUUUGACGAGAUGAUCCCGCUCCUACGUAUCAUCUGCUACAAUGAGGAACUCAAGACCACGUAGUUCUAUGAAGAAAAUAUCGCGUUAGUUGAUUGAUUUUAAGGAGUGAUGCUUUAGACAUUUUGAGCGUUUAAACCUUUACUUGUUGCUCGCUCUCGGAGGUUGAAGUGUUUGUUUGUUUUGCAUCAAAAUGGAUAAAACAUACUCAUUUCUGAAAAUGGUUUUUGAAGUCACGCAAAGGCAAAAAAAUAAGUUUGAUUAGUUAAGUUGCAUUUAGGUGGAGACAUGCAUUCAAACAGGGAGUUCUACAACGGUAUUCAAACACCUGGGAAAGGAAGGGGCCUAAGCCUAAUCACUCUCUUUUUCAUCCAAAAUUUGUUAUGAAAACUUGUGGAGAAUUAAGUUAAAGUUCAUUAAUUGAGGAUGAUUAUUCACACAAGGAGCUCUACAAGAAUGUCCAAAUAAUCUGAGAAGGAGAAGGUCUAAACCCGGUGAAUCUUUUUCUUCUAUAGGAGAACAAACUUAUUUCGAAUAUUUUUUAUGUUUUAAAACGGAAGACGAAUGUUCGAACAUGUAGCUCUACAACAGUGUUCAAACACUCGGGGAAAGAAAAGGUUUAAAUCCAAUCAAUCAUUUUUCUUCCAAGUUGUUGUUAAAGGCUUUGGAAAUAAACUUGAUGUUUGAUCAAGUGUUGUAAGUUGACUAUGAAAAGAAUUUGAUGUAUUCGAAAUGGAUGCUUAACAUUGGAUCAAACACUCGCGUUAUGGAACAUGGUUUGAUUUAUGAAAAAUACUCAACGUUGGAUCGAGCGUUAUUUAUUCUUUUUUUUUGAAAUGGUUCAUUUUAUGUUAUUCUUGAUUAAUUCUAAAUUAAUAGACAAAAUAGAAGAAACUGCAAAAAUUAUUACAAACUAUGGGAGAGGGCACACUUUUAUCGAAUAGGAAUAAUAUGGAUAAAAAUAAAAUAGGCAAAAAUAAAAAUAAACCAAGUCAUACAAGAAUAAAACUAGGUCUAAAAAUAAAAAGAAAAAACAAAUCACAUGUUUAAAAAUAAAAUUAAUUAGUAAGGUCAACUAAAAUUAAUUAAUAUAAUUAAUCAACUUGCAUUAAUUAAUUAAACUAAGUAAUUCUAAUUAAUAUUAUAAAAAAACUAAUUGGAAAAACCCCAAAAACCUAAUUAUAAACCAAUUAUAUUAACAAAAACUAAUUAUAUAAAACUGAAUAUAAAUCUAAAAAAACUAAAGAAAAAAGUUGAAUUGGUCUAAAAAACAAACAAGCAGUCCAAGGUAGCCAAGGUGGGGGCGUUAUAGUCAGCAAAAAAAUAGGGGUGCGAAGGUAAUUGGGGUGCUGGUUGUAACACCCUAAAAACCCGCGUGAAAUUAUUAAAGAAUUUAAUUAAUGAAAUACAAUCACUUAGGGUGUCACUCAUAACAAUCAUAGUUUGCUCCGUAACACGGGUUACAACAACACAUUUUACUGCAUACACUUGCACUUAGGAUGUUUGCACGACAUCCAACUCAUUUGAAUAACUUCGCAGCGGAAUCAUAAUAAAAAAACAUACCAAUUUAAAAUCUCAUAAUAGUUUUCAUAACAAAAUUAAAAAUACUGACUCGUGAGUCUUCUCCAAGUGAUAUCACACCAAAACAUAAAACAAAUACGAGAACAUGCAUUGUCUCUCAAGAAAUUCCAUCAUAAAAUAAUUAAUUCGCUCCCUAGUUUUACAUAUCAGAGCAUAACCAAAGCUAACACGAAUAAACUAAAAGAAUUAGCUCUAUGAGCUAACUUCCACUCACAACAAUGUAUCUACUCUUGAGUAUCUGCACGAUGCCCAUGUAAAGGCAACAUUCAAACAGAAGGGGUGAGAAUUCAUUUAAAUAAUAACAACAUAAAAUUUAAAAUAGAGUAUAACAUCUACGCAAUCAUGCAUAAUAAUAUAUCACAUUCACAUGCCUAAAUUAUCAUCGACAUCACAUACAACAACACCAUCACCACACAUAGUCAUAUUUCACGCAUAUAUUUCAUUCAUGCUAUAUGACUCACUAUAAAGACAAGGACUCAUAUGCAUAUGGUACCAAUUCAAUAUUUGGUUCUUCUUACGAACCCGAUCCCCCCUUCGAAAUUCUGAACUCCCCCUUCUGAGUUUUGGAUAAGUCUCUCGUCCCCCUUAGGACCUAUGACUUAUCUUCUUCAACAUAUCAACAAUGAAUGUAUGACAUGGUAAUAAUUCAAUUAACACAACAAUUAUAAUAAUAUUUAGUGAUCCAUAAUCGAUCACACAAUUGCAACCAUGCAUAACGUAACUCACCCUUUUGGACUACCACCAAUGCAAUUAACACAACAAUUAUAAUAAUAUUUAAUGAUCUACAAUUGAUCACACAAUUUAAACCAUGUGUAACGUAAUCCACCAUUCUGAACUAUCACAAAUAUAAUCAAACACACCAUCUCAAUCAUUCACAAUACAUCAAAUAAUUUGUCAAUACGGACCUCGUCCAUAUUCAUCACUUCAUACAAUGUUUCCCACCUGCUACCAAACUUUUAUAAAAUUGUUAAAAACAUUUUAUCCUUAAAAUAAAUUUAUAUUCCUCAGUUUCAUUUACCCAACACUAUGGACCCCCUCCAAAAAUGAUUUACAGGUUGAAAGUUAUGAUCAAAAUCGUGCACAAAAGCAUUACCAACAAGUUGUUGUUUUCCUGAAAUUUUCAACACGAUUUUCAUCUUCUCCGACCCCAAAAUCAUCCAUGAAAUCGUCACCAAAAAUAUUUAACCCCUGAAACAAAGUUAUAGUCCUCUAUUUCAGCUAUCCAACGCUUCAAAUCCCGUCCCAAAAUGAUUUUAGAGUUAAAAGUUAUGAUCAAAAUCGUGCACGAAGGCGUUACCAAAAAGUUGUUGUUUUUCUGAAAUUUCCAGCACGAUUUUCAUCUUCUUCAACCCCAAAAACUUCCAUGAAAUCAUCACAAAAAAUAUUUCAUGGUUUUAAACUUAGUCAUAAACAUACAUGUAUGAAUCACUACUUAUAGUCAUAUAAUCAUGAAUCUAUAUACUAUAUCAAUCCCUAAAACCUUCAAACAUCAUCAAUAAUGAACAUACAUGGACACUUUAAAACAUAAAUUUCAUUCAACAAAUGUCAACAUUCAUCAUCAAUCCAAAAAGAAUUAAAUAUUCCUCUACCCAAUCAAAUUUCUAUCCUUACCUUGUAAUUCCACAAAAAUCCAAGCUUUUGACUACGACUUCUCUUCCCUAGAGUUCUCCUUAGAUUUUCCUUACUUUUCUCUUCUCUCGCCUCUUUUUCUCCAAUUCCAAAAGUUUCAACUCACUUCUCUCCUCAUAAAUCAAAAACUUAAUUUUUAUCUUUCUAAUAUUCCACUAAGGCUAAACUUAUUACUAACUUACAUUAUUUAUUUUAAUUCUCCACAUUUCGCACUUUCCACCCCAAACUCAUUAUUAUUAUUUUAUUUAAAUAAUAACACUAAACCAUUAUUUUAAUCAAUUAAAUAAUUCUAAAUAAAUCUACCGACCUCUAAUUACUCUUCACACUCUCUACCUAAGGGUCACUCACCCUUGUUGCCAUAAUAUAUCUCAAUUAUCACACAAAUAAUAAUUAGAUACAUAUAUUAAAUUAUAAUUAAUUAAUAUAAUUUUUUUUAGAAAAAUGGGGUGUUACACUGAGCCAAUGGUUAGAGGGCACAAAUAGUGAGUCAUGGUGUUGACUCAUAUGACAGUGGCCAUUAGAUGCACAUAUCAAGGUGAUCAAUAGGGUAAUCCAACGGUGAAAAGUCUGUGUGCACGAUAAGGAUCAUGGUGAAGCAUGCAAAUUGUAACAUACAUGUGUGGUCCUGCAUGGCCACCACAUGUCUUCUAUCUGAGAACCCAGGGACACACGGAAGAAGCAAAAUGCAGGAUGAGGACUCAUUUUGCCAUCUACACUCUUUCUCUUCUCUUUCACGUCUUAUCUCUUCUCUUCAGUUCUCUCAACACACUUUCCAAAAGUCUUACCUCUCUCUCCUCUCAUCCCAUCUUCGCCGACCAACCUCCGGCGUUGCACCACCACCAAACACAAAAAACCUAACAUGACCUCCCCGUUAAAUCUCUUCCUCCAUCCAAAACCAAAUUUCUUCACCUAGCUUCAACUCAAAAGUUGUGAAACAAAAACCCAACAUAAACUCACCACAAGAAUCGAUUCAAACACAACGAAGAAUAUUGGCAAUGGAACAAGGAAUCACAACACAAUCACAACGCAAAGAUAUUAUUAGAACACAUAUUAAAAUUCGCAGAUGCAAAACCCUAGGUUUACACAAGCAUUUAAUUCACAACAAUUGCAUUAAAAAAUCAAGAAGAAAGGAAAUUAAAACAUGAAGAAAGUACCAAAUGGAAAAGUCGAGUUCUCUGGUGACGCUCUGACGACAGGUAAUUUUGUUUCUUGCUUUAAAUCUCCUUCUACUCCUUAUGUGUGUAUGUUAUUCGUAUAAUUGUUGUUUUGUUACCGCUUUGUUGAUUGUUACUGUGUAUCCGAUGGUGAGUGUGGCUUAGCUCAGGUAUCAAUUAGAGUUUCAAUAUGAAACUCCAAUAACCUUAGAAGGAGAGCGUUGAGUGUUGGUAUUUUUGAGGGAUUUCAACAGAGUUUUUCUCAGUGCGGAGGGUAGAAUUCAGUCCUCUUCAAUGAAGCAAUGGUCAUGUUUUAUAAUGAGAUAUUGGGAAGUUCAUAUGUCGGUUUCCUUUCUUCAAACAUGUGAGAUCGUUAGAGGAUAUUGAGGGAGUGGGGAGUUAGAAUUUACUUGAAGCUUGAGAAAGUUGUGGAGCAGCGUUGCAUAGGUG
Molecule: long non-coding RNA, 22052 nt
Filed under: Lathyrus oleraceus (garden pea)
Lineage: Eukaryota; Viridiplantae; Streptophyta; Magnoliopsida; Fabales; Fabaceae
Description: Pisum sativum (pea) long non-coding RNA (PSAT_LNC003949)
Source: RNAcentral